RNAcentral lists this ribosomal RNA (397 nucleotides) under uncultured bacterium. RNAcentral describes it as "partial 16S ribosomal RNA". It matches the Rfam family "Bacterial small subunit ribosomal RNA", at positions 523 to 918 of the family's 1533-position model. The record is from RNAcentral.
AUACGUAGGGGGCGAGCGUUGUCCGGAAUGCUUGGGCGUAAAGGGCGCGUAGGCGGCCCGGUAAGUCUGGAGUGAAAGUCCUGUUUUUAAGAUGGGAAUUGCUUUGGAUACUGUCGGGCUUGAGUGCAGGAGAGGUAAGUGGAAUUCCCAGUGUAGCGGUGAAAUGCGUAGAGAUUGGGAGGAACACCAGUGGCGAAGGCGACUUACUGGACUGUAACUGACGCUGAGGCGCGAAAGUGUGGGGAGCAAACAGGAUUAGAUACCCUGGUAGUCCACACUGUAAACGAUGAAUGCUAGGUGUAGGGGGUAUCGACCCCUUCUGUGCCGCAGUCAACACAAUAAGCAUUCCGCCUGGGGAGUACGGCCGCAAGGUUGAAACUCAAAGGAAUUGACGGGG